CUCCUUCAUACCAGAAACUCUCUGAAAUCUUCCACAAUUUUCUUUCUAUCCUUGAGGUAUCAUUUUACAUGAGAGUUCUCAGUGGGUCUUUUCAAACUGGAGACUCAUGAUCAUGACAAUCUGGUGCACUCCGACUGUGUUCCACCACACCUCCUUAAUGGGGUUGAAAACCUUCCCAGGGAGACCGUUAGACUGAACAAAUCAAACCGCAGAGCCUUGGUUCAUGUGAAAGGAGAGAGGAGCCGGGUCUAGACAGAGGAACAAAGCAAGAUCCACCAGACACAAACUGCAAGCUAACUUUGACCCUGCUGCCCACCCGCGCCUGGUGGGCUCUCCAUCACUCUGUGACCUCAAGCACUCCCUGUGCAUGGUUGGUCACUCUCUGAGCCAACACAUGCCACCAGCCAUGCUGUGUCUAGAGUCUCCUUACCAUGUGGAUUAAAGGUGGAGUCCAGGGCAGGUUGUUCUACCUGGACAUCAGGCUGCAAUCACACAGCCAAGAGCAGCAGGACAAUAGAUGUUUGGGCUGGAGGCGUCACUUGCCCUCCAUGUCAUGCAGUUCUGGGGGAGCAGCCUGGACAAGUUGGGUGCCACCUUCUUAACCCUCUUUGGACUCCAGCGAAAGCUGCAUGUCACCCCCAGCUGGACUACAGAGAGGUGGGCUAGAGAUGAUGACCACUACUGAGGUAGAUUGGCAGUCAUCAGUGGGGAACUGGACAACUUCAAAGACAGCCAUACUUACCAAGUUAUUAUCAUGUGGAGAUGCAGGUUAAAGAAGAUGGCUCUGCCAACCUUUUCAGACUCGCUAUGAAAUGUCAAUGCAGCUAAUAUUAUAGACAGCUAAGUUAGGAAAAUAUUAUAGGCAAUCAGACAGGGCUAGACCCUUGAAGGGGUCAGUGCAGAAGAUAAGAACACAUUACAACUGUGGAUGGAGGUGCAUUUAUUGAAGGCCAGUCCUCAAGAUAAAGAUGGAAUGACUAGGCCUACGUAUCUCCCUGAGGGAUAAACAAUAUACUAUAAUCAGUAUUACCUGGUCCAAUAAAGUCUAGAGAGACAUUAGUUACCCAGUGGGGGACCAGGACCUUCUGACUCAUCCUUUCCAAAAAAGGUCCUUGUUCUUUCCAUGCACACUUGCUAUGUGACCUGCUUCCACAUUGGCUCAAUAUUAACUAAGUGGCUAUACUUGUAAUCCUAUUGUUUGAUCAAAGUUUUGCUCAACAUUGUACUCACCUUGUGAUUUUAUACCCACCUUGUGGUUUUGCUCUAUAAAACUUCCUCUGUAGAAUGGGGUCCAAGCCAACCUACUUGGGCCCCCUCCUGUCUCUCAGGAGCUAAAUCUCCCGGCCCACUCAAUAAAUAUCUCCCACUCUUAACCUCCACUGUUCCUUAGAAUUCAUUCUUCAAUUCUGGGGAACUCAAACUCGGUGUAUGUCAUCAUCUAGCAGAUUGGGAGUUACUUCCCUUACACUAGGAGGCCCUAUAUCACUAGGACAUAUUGAUGUGGUGGAGUUAAGCAGAGCACAAGCUUUUAUUCCCCUUGGCUGUGGCUAGAGCCAGGCAGCAGGGCACCCGUCGGGCCCAUGGGCAUCACACUUACCAGGUGUGGCUGCUUCCAUGCAGGAUUUAUUACUAUAGGGUGUUGGGGAGACGAUG
This 1653-nucleotide long non-coding RNA is filed under the name Heterocephalus glaber (naked mole-rat). RNAcentral's name for it is "lncRNA (ENSHGLG00000036282.1)". The record is from RNAcentral. Lineage: Eukaryota; Metazoa; Chordata; Mammalia; Rodentia; Bathyergidae.